CACAGGAGCCUAGGGUCUUUCACUGUGUGAUGCUGUGGUCACGGCUGCUGCCUGUGCUGUGGACAGGGUGCCUGGCUGCGCAGAAUUAUGAGCUCUCAGUGACUAGAUCAGUGACGGUGCAGGAGGGUCUGUGCAUCUUUGUAGCCUGCCAAGUCCAGUACCCUGCUUCCAGUACUUCUGUCUUUGGCUACUGGUUCCGGGAUGGGGCUGAUAUAUAUAGCGACUCUCCAGUGGCUACAAAUGACCCACAUCGACCAGUACAGAAGGAAGCUCAAGGUCGAUUCUAUCUUAUGGGGGACCAAGAUACUGAUAAUUGCUCCCUGGACAUCAGAAACGCACGGAAAAGUGACACGGGAAAGUACUUCUUCAGGUUGGAUGGAAGUGGUAUUGUAAAAUUCAGUUUUCUGAAGGCGAUGCUGUCUGUGCAUGUGAUAGCUCUGACUGAGACCCCUAACUUCCAAGCCACACCUACCCUGGUGUCUGGCACUUCUACUCAACUGAUCUGUUCUGUGCCCUGGGCCUGUGAGCGGGGGACACCCCCCAUCUUUUCCUGGAUGUCAUCUGCCCUCACUUCCCUGGGCCACAGGACCACCCUCUCCUCAGAGUUGAACCUCACACCCAAGCCUCAGGACAAUGGUACCAACCUCACUUGUCAGGUGGCAGUCCCUGGUGCUAGUGUUACUGUGGAGAGGACUCAACAGCUCAGUGUCACCUAUGCUCCACAGAAGCUGACCAUCAGGGUGUCCUGGGGAGAUGACACAGAAACUAAAGUCCUGUAUAACGGAGCAUCCCUGCAGAUUCAAGAGGGAGAGUCCCUGUGCCUGGUUUGUGUGGCCGACAGCAACCCUUCUGCCAUGCUGAGAUGGGAGCACCAGACCCAAAAGCACCUCCAGCUCUCCACCCCUGAGGAACUGAAGCUGCCACGGGUGGAGUUGAAGGACCAGGGAAAAUAUAUCUGCCAAGCUCAGAACAGUCUGGGUACUCAGACGGUCUCUGUGAGCCUCAGCAUAAGGAGCCUUCUACAGCUGCUGGGACCCUCCUGCUCCUGGGAGGCUCAGAGUCUUCACUGCAGCUGCUCCUCCAGAGCCUGGCCUGCCCCCUCCCUGCGCUGGCGGCUGGGGGAGGGGCUGCUGGAGGGGAACAGCAGCAAUGCCUCCUUCACAGUUAUGUCCAGCUCCACAGGACCAUGGGCUAACAGCUCCCUGAGCCUCAGCGUGGAAUUCAGCACUGACUGCAGACUCAGCUGUGAAGCUUGGAAUGACUAUGAAGUUCAGAGAGCCAAUAUCUUGCUGGUGCCAGGACAAGAGGUCUCACAGGCAGGCAAAUCAGAAACCAGUAGAGGAAUGGUCCUGGGGGCCAUCUGGGGAGCUGGUCUUAUGGCCUUGCUUGUUGUCUGCCUCUGCCUUAUCUUCGUCAUAGUGAAAGUCCUCAGGAAGAAAUCAGCCUUGAAAGUAGCAGGCGUGGAAGGCAACCAUCUUGCCAAGAACCCUGUCUCCACCAUAAAUAGUGCGAGCAUGGUUUCAUCCAACAUUUCGUUGAGAUACCCCAUCCAGGGUCAUCUGAAUGAGUCAGGGUCACAGACCCAGAAAGAACAGCCACCUCUUGCCACAGCCCCAGACACCCCAAAGGAUGAGCCUGAACUCCACUACGCCUCCCUCUCCUUCCAAGGCCCAAGGCCCCAGCAGCCUCAGAACGUGGAAGCCAUCAAAUCUAUUUACUCAGAGAUCAAGAUCCGCAAGUGCUGACGCUCUGUGUCUCAUGUGGCCCAGUGCUGGCUGGAGUCCCAGAAAGGCAUAGCCAAAGACAGCAUGUGUUAGGAGCGUAUUCUGAUAUCAGUGGCCCUCUAAACCAAAAACUAUGUAGUGAAAGGAUGGAGUUUUGGAAGGAAUGAAGGUCACAGGGAUUCCUAGAGAGAAAAAUCAGCAAAGAACUUCUGAUUACAUGCUGCCAACUUCUUGCUGCUUCCAUAGACUUGUGCCAACUGGUGGAUCUUUGUGGUUUCGUCUGGAUAGAGCCACUGCUACUGAUUCAUAUUUGGUGUUUGCCAAAUGAAGUGGACUGCCACUGCUGAUUCGCGUUUGGUGUUUUGAUAGUAAACUGGACCACUGACAACAAAGAUUGGAAUCUCUCAAAAGAACUAUUUCUAAACAGGUCCCCUGCUUCCUAUUAACCUUUCUAUUCUCCUACCUCUGGUGAGUGAUAGCCUAGAAAUGAGGUUGAAACAUUGAAAAACCAUAAUUAAAGUAGGUUUUGAAAAAAAAAAUCUAAGCCUACAUCCAAUUCUCAUGAGAACAGACAAGGAAGAGAAGCUACUUAAAGCACAGUGAGGAGAGACAAUUGAAAUCAGUUCGACUGAGUUCAGUUGAGUUCUAAACAGUUCAGUUCAUGGAGUUCAGAGGUAGUUUUGCCAAGCAAAGCAAUUCAGUGAUAAGCUGAGAAAAGCCAGUUUGAAUUAGACAGCUAGGGAAGGCGUUUGAGCUAAAACAGCUAAGUUGAACCAGCCAGUCAGAGUUCAGAAAGAGUUAGUAGGGGUGAACAUGUUUAGCAAUAAGCCUCUAAGAUGACAAUUGCAUCUGGUAAAUAAAAGAUACUUUUACAACAUA
Molecule: RNA transcript, 2603 nt
Organism: Grammomys surdaster
Lineage: Eukaryota; Metazoa; Chordata; Mammalia; Rodentia; Muridae
Gene name: sialic acid-binding Ig-like lectin 5
Exons: 10
Source: RefSeq, a predicted model, not a curated record